Molecule: ribosomal RNA, 1343 nt
Filed under: uncultured bacterium
Lineage: Bacteria
Description: 16S ribosomal RNA
Rfam family: Bacterial small subunit ribosomal RNA
Source: RNAcentral
GACGAACGCUGGCGGCGUGCUUAACACAUGCAAGUCGAACGGAAAGGCCCUGCUUUUGUGGGGUGCUCGAGUGGCGAACGGGUGAGUAACACGUGAGUAACCUGCCCUUGACUUUGGGAUAACUUCAGGAAACUGGGGCUAAUACCGGAUAGGAGCUCCUGCUGCAUGGUGGGGGUUGGAAAGUUUCGGCGGUUGGGGAUGGACUCGCGGCUUAUCAGCUUGUUGGUGGGGUAGUGGCUUACCAAGGCUUUGACGGGUAGCCGGCCUGAGAGGGUGACCGGCCACAUUGGGACUGAGAUACGGCCCAGACUCCUACGGGAGGCAGCAGUGGGGAAUAUUGCACAAUGGGCGGAAGCCUGAUGCAGCAACGCCGCGUGCGGGAUGACGGCCUUCGGGUUGUAAACCGCUUUCGCCUGUGACGAAGCGUGAGUGACGGUAAUGGGUAAAGAAGCACCGGCUAACUACGUGCCAGCAGCCGCGGUGAUACGUAGGGUGCGAGCGUUGUCCGGACUUAUUGGGCGUAAAGGGCUCGUAGGUGGUUGAUCGCGUCGGAAGUGUAAUCUUGGGGCUUAACCCUGAGCGUGCUUUCGAUACGGGUUGACUUGAGGAAGGUAGGGGAGAAUGGAAUUCCUGGUGGAGCGGUGGAAUGCGCAGAUAUCAGGAGGAACACCAGUGGCGAAGGCGGUUCUCUGGGCCUUUCCUGACGCUGAGGAACGAAAGCGUGGGGAGCGAACAGGCUUAGAUACCCUGGUAGUCCACGCUGUAAACGGUGGGUACUAGGUGUGGGGUCCAUUCCACGGGUUCCGUGCCGUAGCUAACGCUUUAAGUACCCCGCCUGGGGAGUACGGCCGCAAGGCUAAAACUCAAAGGAAUUGACGGGGCCCCGCACAAGCGGCGGAGCAUGCGGAUUAAUUCGAUGCAACGCGUAGAACCUUACCUGGGUUUGACAUGGAUCGGGAGUGCUCAGAGAUGGGUGUGCCUCUUUUGGGGUCGGUUCACAGGUGGUGCAUGGCUGUCGUCAGCUCGUGUCGUGAGAUGUUGGGUUAAGUCCCGCAACGAGCGCAACCCUUGUUCACUGUUGCCAGCACGUUAUGGUGGGGACUCAGUGGAGACCGCCGGGGUCAACUCGGAGGAAGGUGGGGAUGACGUCAAGUCAUCAUGCCCCUUAUGUCCAGGGCUUCACGCAUGCUACAAUGGCUGGUACAGAGAGUGGCGAGCCUGUGAGGGUGAGCGAAUCUCGGAAAGCCGGUCUCAGUUCGGAUUGGGGUCUGCAACUCGACCUCAUGAAGUCGGAGUCGCUAGUAAUCGCAGAUCAGCAACGCUGCGGUGAAUACGUUCCCGGG